Trichophaea hybrida is the source of this 106-nucleotide non-coding RNA. Lineage: Eukaryota; Fungi; Ascomycota; Pezizomycetes; Pezizales; Pyronemataceae. The record is from the annotation of a GenBank genome assembly.
GUCAAGAUGUCCGAGUGGUUAAGGAGUGUGACUCGAACUGGCUUCUUCUGAAGUAUAUUGAUAUCACAUGGGUUCGCCCGCGCAGGUUCGAAUCCUGUUCUUGACG